GCGCUGAUAGUUCAGUGGUAGAAUGCGACCUUGCCAAGGUUGUGACCCGGGUUCGAGCCCCGGUCGGCGCA
Molecule: transfer RNA, 71 nt
Filed under: archaeon
Lineage: Archaea
Description: tRNA-Gly
Rfam family: tRNA
About the family: Transfer RNA (tRNA) molecules are approximately 80 nucleotides in length.
Source: RNAcentral